GACGAACGCUGGCGGCGUGCCUAAUACAUGCAAGUAGAACGCUGAAGAGAGGAGCUUGCUCUUCUUGGAUGAGUUGCGAACGGGUGAGUAACGCGUAGGUAACCUGCCUUGUAGCGGGGGAUAACUAUUGGAAACGAUAGCUAAUACCGCAUAACAAUGGAUGACACAGGUCAUUUAUUUGAAAGGGGCAAUUGCUCCACUACAAGAUGGACCUGCGUUGUAUUAGCUAGUAGGUGAGGUAAUGGCUCACCUAGGCGACGAUGCAUAGCCGACCUGAGAGGGUGAUCGGCCACCCUGGGACUGUGGCACGGCCCAGUCUCCUACGGGAGGCAGCAGUAGGGAAUCUUCGGCAAUGGGGGCAACCCUGACCGCGCAACGCCGCGUGAGUGAAGAAGGUCUUCGGAUCGUAAAGCCCUGUUGUAAGUCAAGAACGGGUGUGAGAGUGGAAAGUUCACACUGUGACGGUAGCUUACCAGAAAGGGACGGCUAACUACGUG
This 497-nucleotide ribosomal RNA is filed under the name uncultured bacterium. RNAcentral's name for it is "partial 16S ribosomal RNA". It matches the Rfam family "Bacterial small subunit ribosomal RNA", at positions 28 to 507 of the family's 1533-position model. The record is from RNAcentral.